RNAcentral lists this ribosomal RNA (1518 nucleotides) under Barbulanympha sp. Cp26. Its description in RNAcentral is "SSU rRNA". It matches the Rfam family "Eukaryotic small subunit ribosomal RNA". Lineage: Eukaryota; Parabasalia; Trichonymphida; Barbulanymphidae. The record is from RNAcentral.
AAGGAAGCACACUUCAGUCAUAGAUUAAGCCAUGCAAGUGUUAGUUCAGGUAACGAAACUGCGAACAGCUCAUUAACACACUCAGCACCUAAUUGAUAGCGACUAUUAAGUUUUAUAUGGAUAGCAGGAGUAAUUCUCGUGCUAAUACAUGCAAUAGUUUCAUCAGAAAUGGAUUAUGAUGAAAAAGUUAACCUUAAGGUUUGUCAUUUGGUUGAGUGACCUAUCAGCCAGUACUUAGGAUCUUUACCUAGGUAAGCUAUUACGGGUAACGGGCGGUGACCGUCGGACUGCCGGAGAAGGCGCCUGAGAGAUAGCGACUAUGCCUACGGGCAGCAGCAGGCGCGAAACUUACCCACUCGAGAUACUCGGAGGUGGUGAUGACUAGUUUUAAAUUGAAAUUUAUUUCAUAUUAAAUAGGAUGAUAUGCAAAUUUCACCGUGCAAUCUAGCAGAGGGCCAGUCUGGUGCCAGCAGCUGCGGUAAUUCCAGCUCUGCAAGUUUGCUCCCAUAUUGCUGCAGUUAAAACGCCCGUAGUCAGAACUCAUAUGAAGAGGGAAUUUUCCGUUCACUGCGAAUAAAUCAGGACGCUUAGAGUGUGCCUACAUGAAUGACUUAGCGUAGUAUGAAAUAUUUGCUGUUCGAAGCAAGAUCAAAGAGAGCCAUUGGGGGUAGUUAUAUUCCAUGUCGAGCGGUGGAAUGCAUUGACACAUGGGAGAUGAACAAAAGCGAAAGCAAUUACCUAGAGGGUUUCUAUCGAUCAAGGGCGAGAGUAGGAGUAUCCAACCGGAUUAGAGACCCGGGUAGUUCCUACUGUAAACGAUGUCGACUGGGGAUUGGUUUUUUAUAAAAUCAGCACCCUUAGAGAAAUUAUAGUUUUUAGACUCUGGGGGAACUACGAUCGCAAGACUGAAACUUGAAGGAAUUGACGGAAGGGCACACAAGAGGUGGAGCCUGUGGCUUAAUUUGAAUCAACACGGGGAAACUUACCAGGACAAGAUAAUUUGGUGACUGACAGUCUAAAGGUCUUUCAGGAUAUAUUUUUGGGUGGUGCAUGGUCGUUGGUGGUGCGUGGGUUGACCUGUCUAGCGUUGAUUCAGAUAACGAGCGAGAUUACCGCCAAAUAUUAGAAAAUUUCAGCAACCUGAAAAUAACUUUAUUUGGGACUGCCUGGCUUAGAACAGGAGGAAGGGGGUAGCAAUAACAGGUCCGUGAUGUCCUUUAGAUGCCCUGGGCUGCACGCGUGCUACAAUGUGAAUUUCAAAUGGAAUCUGCGAUUCUGACAAGAAAAGCUACUCCAUAAUCAUUCACGUAGUUGGGAUUGAUGGUUGUAAUCAUCAUCAUGAACUAGGAAUCCCUUGUAAAUGUGCGUCAACAUCACACGUUGAAUACGUCCCUGCCCUUUGUACACACCGCCCGUCGCUCCUACCGAUUGGAUGACCUGGUGAAAAUGUCAGACUUCGCGGAGAAAGGCAUUUAAAUCAUGUUAUUUAGAGGAAGGAGAAGUCGUAACAAGGUAUCG